Molecule: long non-coding RNA, 2217 nt
Organism: Cyprinus carpio carpio
Lineage: Eukaryota; Metazoa; Chordata; Actinopteri; Cypriniformes; Cyprinidae
Source: Ensembl
CUUUCAAAUCACACCUGCAAACUGUCACGCAAUGGAAAUCCAGGUCCUCAGGAGAAAAACAUUAAGCACAGGAAUGCAAGGCGUUCCCAAACACUUUCAGGUUUUAACACUAACAAGCUGAUGAUUUCUCAGACCGGAGUCUCCAAGAGCCAUUCUUUCAAAAGCUGGUUAUGAGCUGUUCUGAGAAGUCAGUCAAGCACCACUUUUUAACAUCUACAGCAGUUCUUGACCUCUUUUGCUGUGUGACGUCGCUGUGCAGUCACUUCUAAAACUCAUGACACAAAUAUUUGGACUUUUUAAAAUCCCUAUAACAGUCUAUUUAUCUUCUACCCAUCUACCUUUAAUGAAACACAACAUAGCUAGUCUUAAAUAAGUAGCCUACGGCCCUCUGUGGCAGCACCACGGUACAGUAACUGUAGACCUACCACAGAUGUCCAUUUGAUAAUAGAAACCCACAAGGUACAGUUUCCAUUCACAAGUCCCAUUAUAACCAAAAACCAUUACAAUUUCUGUAAUGGUUUCUGUCCGAGGGUUCAGGAUUCGUACACGCCUGGAUUAACUAGAGUUGUUUUUCAGACUUGUGCACCACCACCACUAACCACUAGAUGGACACCAAGCUCUAUCUGAUUCCACACGGUGAUUUUCAGCAUCAAACCAAGCAGAUUUUACUAGAUUACGGGAAGAUUUCCACCUGCAAAACCGACUAAAGUGUCUGCGGUGGCAAUUCAUGUAAAUAACCUCUUGACUGUUAACUUCCCAUUUCGUGACAGAACCCGGUAUGAUGGAGACGGCGGGGUCGUGCCACAAAGGAGAGGAGCGAAAGAAAACAUCUCCGAACGAGGCCACAGACCAGAUCUCUGUCUCUUUCUCUUGCUCGUUUUGAGUCAUUUGCUAAUGCACCAGCAAAUGUCUGUAUUCAGUGUUUUACACCCAGAGCCGUCUUCAAAUUAACAUCAAUUACUAGUAGACGUAAGUUUUUCCUCCAGUGUUAAUUAGAGUGUAAUGUUUGAGGUUCAGCAUUAUGUGUGAAAUGUAUCAUGCCUAAUGAAAGACGAAUGUUGUUUAUCAUUUAUUUUGCCAUCAUCGCUUACAUUUAAAGAUUAAGUGUGGGGUUUUGUCGCAUUCUUAAUAUUUGGAAGUCCCCAGAGAUGAGGUUCGCAUACAAGAAGAAGCCAGGGCCUGGCCUAUGUGCGUGUGCUCGCUAGUAGCAUUAACGCUGAACUGGUAAUUUAGCACUUACGUGCAAAUGCUUUACAAAUGUCAUCUACUACCCUUGAGUUUCCACUGACAACUGCUCCAGCUCUGAGAGUGAGAAAGGGAGGCGGUGGAGGAAAAGAAUGAGAGAUAAGGAAAAGAGAAGGCCACCUACAGACUCACAUUCGUUUCUCACUCCAGCCCACAUUUAGCACUCUCAAUAACAAUUGCAUUUUUCUGUGUAAACAACCUUGGAGAACAUUCUGUCGCGUUCAAUCCAUAUGCUACGAUACUGUGACACUUCGCUUCGCACAAAUAAGGAAAGGAGGUGACUUGUGGCCAAGUAUGGUGACCCAUACUCAGAAUACAUGCUUGCAUUUCACCCAUCCAAGUGCACACACACACAGCAGUGAGUAGUGAACCAUUAGGCCACAACUGCCCCCUAGUCUAAUAAAUAGUCUAAUAGUUUAAAUAAUAAGCUAUAAUUUCAGCAUCUGUUGGAUCCAUGGCCUUUUCUGCAAAAGGGUUAUUGCUUGUUCUAUAUUUACAGUCCUCAGCUUAUAUUUAUGUCUGUUAAACUUACCUUCAAUACAAACAUUGUUGGUUUCCUAUGUUACUUUUUAAAGCAAGCUCAUUCUUAAACUUUGAGUCAUAUCAGCAGGGGUGAAGAAACACAUAAAAAAAUCCAUGAGUGUUUCAUUGGUGGAAUAACCUUAGUUGCACUUUCCCACAAUAAUACAAGUUGUCAAGCUUCAAAAAUGACUAAAUUGAUAUAUCAAAGCAUCAAGUUGUAUGAGGUACCUCUUUGAACUCCGUUCACGAAUAGACAGCACUGAUAUUCUUCUGAACUGAGUUCCACUGAAGAAAGACAUUUGGAUUGGGAACAAUGUGAGGAUGAGUAAAUAAAAACAGAUUUGCAGUCUGUAUGAGCCAUUAUUCACAAAGUAACACAAGAAGCCUUAAUACAAAGCUCAUUUUUAGCAGUGUCAACUUUGAGGAACGUGAGACCACCACUGACGACAG